RNAcentral lists this ribosomal RNA (229 nucleotides) under uncultured bacterium. Its description in RNAcentral is "partial 16S ribosomal RNA". It matches the Rfam family "Bacterial small subunit ribosomal RNA", at positions 568 to 796 of the family's 1533-position model. The record is from RNAcentral.
CGCGUAGGCGGAAAAUUAAGUCAGUGGUGAAAUCCUGCAGCUUAACUGUAGAACUGUCAUUGAUACUGAUUUUCUUGAAUAUAGUUGAGGUAGGCGGAAUGUGUAAUGUAGCGGUGAAAUGCUUAGAUAUUACACAGAACACCGAUUGCGAAGGCAGCUUACUAAGCUAUUAUUGACGCUGAGGCACGAAAGCGUGGGGAGCGAACAGGAUUAGAUACCCUGGUAGUCC